RNAcentral lists this ribosomal RNA (513 nucleotides) under uncultured bacterium. RNAcentral describes it as "partial 16S ribosomal RNA". It matches the Rfam family "Bacterial small subunit ribosomal RNA", at positions 28 to 523 of the family's 1533-position model. The record is from RNAcentral.
GAUGAACGCUGGCGGCGUGCCUAAUACAUGCAAGUCGAACGCGCAGCGAAAGGUGCUUGCACCUUUCAAGCGAGUGGCGAACGGGUGAGUAACACGUGGAUAACCUGCCUCAAGGCUGGGGAUAACAUUUGGAAACAGAUGCUAAUACCGAAUAAAACUUAGUAUCGCAUGAUACAAAGUUGAAAGGCGCUACGGCGUCACCUAGAGAUGGGUCCGCGGUGCAUUAGUUAGUUGGUGGGGUAAAGGCCUACCAAGACAAUGAUGCAUAGCCGAGUUGAGAAACGAAUCGGCCACAUUGGGACUGAGACACGGCCCAAACUCCUACGGGAGGCUGCAGUAGGGAAUCUUCCACAAUGGGCGAAAGCCUGAUGGAGCAACGCCGCGGGUGUGAUGAAGGCUUUAGGGUCGUAAAGCACUGUUGUAUGGGAAGAAAUGCUAGAAUAGGGAAUGAUUCUAGUUCGACGGUACCAUACCAGAAAGGGACGGCUAAAUACGUGCCAGCCGCCGCCGUAA